This is a non-coding RNA of Acanthosepion pharaonis, 89 nucleotides long. NCBI's taxonomy places the organism in Eukaryota, Metazoa, Mollusca, Cephalopoda, Sepiida, Sepiidae. The record is from the annotation of a GenBank genome assembly.
UGAGGCCACAUCAAAGGGAAACACCGGUUCCCGUCCGAUCACCGAAGUUAAGCAACAUCGAGCCUGGUCAGUAUCUAGAUGACAGACCA